GACGGAGGAUGCAAGCGUUAUCCGGAAUGAUUGGGCGUAAAGCGUCCGCAGGUGGCAGUUCAAGUCUGCUGUCAAAGACCGGGGCUUAACUUCGGAAAGGCAGUGGAAACUGAACAGCUAGAGUAUGGUAGGGGCAGAGGGAAUUCCUGGUGUAGCGGUGAAAUGCGUAGAGAUCAGGAAGAACAUCGGUGGCGAAGGCGAGGCUCUGGGCAAAUUCUGACGCUGAGGCACGAAGGCUAGGGGAGCAAACGGG
Molecule: ribosomal RNA, 253 nt
Filed under: uncultured bacterium
Lineage: Bacteria
Description: partial 16S ribosomal RNA
Rfam family: Bacterial small subunit ribosomal RNA
Source: RNAcentral